GGCGGACGGGUUAGUAACGCGUGGGAACGUACCCAGAUCUAAGGAAUAGCCACUGGAAACGGUGAGUAAUACCUUAUACGCCCUUCGGGGGAAGGAUUUAUCGGAUUUGGAUCGGCCCGCGUUAGAUUAGGUAGUUGGUGGGGUAAUGGCCUACCAAGCCUACGAUCUAUAGCUGGUUUUAGAGGAUGAUCAGCAACACUGGGACUGAGACACGGCCCAGACUCCUACGGGAGGCAGCAGUGGGGAAUCUUAGACAAUGGGCGCAAGCCUGAUCUAGCCAUGCCGCGUGAGUGAUGAAGGCCUUAGGGUCGUAAAGCUCUUUCGCCUGUGAUGAUAAUGACAGUAGCAGGUAAAGAAACCCCGGCUAACUCCGUGCCAGCAGCCGCGGUAAUACGGAGGGGGUUAGCGUUGUUCGGAAUUACUGGGCGUAAAGCGCAC
This 438-nucleotide ribosomal RNA is filed under the name uncultured Roseovarius sp. Its description in RNAcentral is "bacterial SSU rRNA". It matches the Rfam family "Bacterial small subunit ribosomal RNA", at positions 97 to 570 of the family's 1533-position model. Lineage: Bacteria; Pseudomonadati; Pseudomonadota; Alphaproteobacteria; Rhodobacterales; Roseobacteraceae. The record is from RNAcentral.